Non-coding RNA from Mycena rebaudengoi, 94 nucleotides. NCBI's taxonomy places the organism in Eukaryota, Fungi, Basidiomycota, Agaricomycetes, Agaricales, Mycenaceae. The record is from the annotation of a GenBank genome assembly.
GGUCCAGUAGCAUAGUGGUUAAUGCAUUAGAAUACACUUGUUCUUGGGGACAGAGGUAUUUCUGGAUAUCCUUGUUCGAUUCAAGGCUGGGCCA